GGAUCUCAGUGGUAGAGUAUCUGUUUGACAUGCAGAAAGUCCCAAGCUCAAUCCCUGGCAUCACCC
This 66-nucleotide transfer RNA is filed under the name Sphaerodactylus townsendi. RNAcentral describes it as "tRNA-Val". It matches the Rfam family "tRNA". From Rfam's summary of the family: Transfer RNA (tRNA) molecules are approximately 80 nucleotides in length. Their secondary structure includes four short double-helical elements and three loops (D, anti-codon, and T loops). The record is from RNAcentral. Lineage: Eukaryota; Metazoa; Chordata; Lepidosauria; Squamata; Sphaerodactylidae.